GAUCUGGCUCAGAACGAACGCUGGCGGCAUGGAUUAGGCAUGCAAGUCGAACGCCGAUAGCAAUAUCGGAGUGGCGCAAGGGUGAGGAACACGUGAGUAAUCUGCCCUCGAGUUGGGAAUAGCUCCGGGAAACUGGAAUUAAUACCGAAUAAUAUUGCGGGACCGCAUGGUCCUGCACUUAAAGCAGCAAUGCGCUCGAGGAGGAGCUCGCGUCCCAUUAGCUAGUUGGUGAGGUAACGGCCCACCAAGGCCAUGAUGGGUAGCUGGUCUGAGAGGACGAUCAGCCACAGUGGGACUGAGAACUGCCCACACUCCUACGGGAGGCUGCAGUCGAGAAUUUUGGGCAAUGGGCGAAAGCCUGAACCCCCAGCAAUGCCGCGUGCGGGAUGAAGGUCUUCGGAUUGUAAACCGCUGUCAAGAGGGACGAAAUUUGACGGUACCUCUGAAGGAAGCCACGACUAACUACGUGCCAGCCGCCGC
Molecule: ribosomal RNA, 480 nt
Filed under: uncultured bacterium
Lineage: Bacteria
Description: bacterial SSU rRNA
Rfam family: Bacterial small subunit ribosomal RNA
Source: RNAcentral